This 254-nucleotide ribosomal RNA is filed under the name uncultured bacterium. RNAcentral describes it as "partial 16S ribosomal RNA". It matches the Rfam family "Bacterial small subunit ribosomal RNA", at positions 524 to 777 of the family's 1533-position model. The record is from RNAcentral.
UACGUAGGUGGCAAGCGUUGUCCGGAUUUACUGGGCGUAAAGAGCGCGCAGGCGGUCGUUCAAGUCGCGUGUGAAAGCCCCUGGCUCAACUGGGGAGGGUCACGCGAUACUGAUCGACUCGAAGGCAGGAGAGGGUAGUGGAAUUCCCGGUGUAGUGGUGAAAUGCGUAGAUAUCGGGAGGAACACCAGUGGCGAAGGCGACUACCUGGCCUGUUCUUGACGCUGAGGCGCGAAAGCUAGGGGAGCAAACGGGG